Molecule: ribosomal RNA, 253 nt
Filed under: uncultured bacterium
Lineage: Bacteria
Description: partial 16S ribosomal RNA
Rfam family: Bacterial small subunit ribosomal RNA
Source: RNAcentral
UACGGAGGGGGCUAGCGUUGUUCGGAAUUACUGGGCGUAAAGCGCACGUAGGCGGCUUUGUAAGUUAGAGGUGAAAGCCCAGGGCUUAACUCUGGAAGUGCCUUUAAGACUGCAUCGCUAGAAUCGUGGAGAGGUGAGUGGAAUUCCGAGUGUAGAGGUGAAAUUCGUAGAUAUUCGGAAGAACACCAGUGGCGAAGGCGACUCACUGGACACGUAUUGACGCUGAGGUGCGAAAGCGUGGGGAGCAAACAGG